This 301-nucleotide ribosomal RNA is filed under the name uncultured bacterium. RNAcentral describes it as "partial 16S ribosomal RNA". It matches the Rfam family "Bacterial small subunit ribosomal RNA", at positions 509 to 809 of the family's 1533-position model. The record is from RNAcentral.
CAGCCGCCGCGGGAAUACGUAGGUGGCGAGCGUUGUCCGGAGUCAUUGGGCGUAAAGGGAGCGCAGGCGGGCAUGUAAGUCUUUCUUAAAAGUUCGGGGCUCAACCCCGUGAUGGGAAAGAAACUACAUGUCUUGAGUGCAGGAGAGGAAAGCAGAAUUCCCAGUGUAGCGGUGAAAUUCGUAGAUAUUGGGAGGAACACCAGUGGCGAAGGCGGCUUUCUGGACUGCAACUGACGCUGAGGCUCGAAAGCCAGGGGAGCGAACGGGAUUAGAUACCCCCGUAGUCCCUGUCUCUUAUACA